This is a non-coding RNA of Phoenix dactylifera (date palm), 1127 nucleotides long. NCBI's taxonomy places the organism in Eukaryota, Viridiplantae, Streptophyta, Magnoliopsida, Arecales, Arecaceae. The record is from RefSeq and is a predicted model, not a curated record.
CAAGUAGUUUCAUCCCAUCAAGGAAACUAACUCUUAUAUGUAUGCUGAUAACUAUCCCACAACCUUUAGUUUGAACAAGUCAAAUAGCUACCCUUAUCUUCCAAUAUGUGGGCCACUAUGCAACAAAUAAAUAAAUAAAUAAACAUAUCAUUUUAUUUAAAAUAUCUAACAGGUACCACUUCUAUCUCCCUCUAAAAUAUUAUUUUCUGGUACUAUAAUAACCCAGCCGUUUACGAACUGGGCUAGUGGGCCGGCCUGAAGAGGCCAGGCCCAAUUGAAGCGAGCCCUGUUUCUCGAAAGGAUGAAGGAGAAGACUCCCGAUCGGAGUCUUCUUCCUCCUCCAUUUCCGGCGACAGAGUUCGAAUCGAUCUCGGAGAGCUUGCCUAUUUAAGGCCCAUUCCUCCUCCUCCUAGUUUCAUCGAUGAAGACCCGAGAAUCGCCGCCGAUCCCCAAGCGUUUCUUCCGGAUUUCUUCUUCGAUUCAUCGCCGGAAAAUGUCGUCGGAACACCUCGCCGGACCGAGGAGAACAAUCUUUUGGACAAGAGGAUAUUGAGCAGAGGCUUACGCACUCCGGUUUGUAGAUCGUAGUAGUUUAUUUGGGUUGUCAGCGAAGAGAAUUGCAGGUUGAAUGGUACAUGGCUAUCGUUGAGAUCACGGAUGGAGGAAUAAUUAGAUAGAGUAUCACAAAUUUUGGUUGGAUGAAGAAGUUUUGUAAUUGGAUCAUUUUGUUGUUUAGUAUGAAUUGAAAUCAUUGUUGAUUACAUAUAUGGAGGUUGUAUUAUAUUUUUAGACCUAACAUAUUUUUCAGAGCUCUAUUCUAAAGAGUGUAUGGCCGUGUCGUGUGCCGGACCUGAAUAUUGGAUUUGAGGCAUGACAGAUACUACUUUGUUCCCCACCAAGUAGACCGAUCUCCGUGGCAGCCCUGCGUAUUACACCAAUAGAGUGGUGCCGUGGCGCAUUUCUUAAACUAUACACACCCACUUGAACAAGAGGUGUACCCUUUGGGCUGUAGCCGAGUUUGCAUCACAGGCGUACAGCUGUUGGUGUUUCUAGACAUACUCAUGUACAAGAUUUGAACCUUUUCAAAACAGUUAAAGGAGCCUAUUUCAAAUAUUGACUCUUGAAUA